Molecule: ribosomal RNA, 226 nt
Filed under: uncultured Enterobacterales bacterium
Lineage: Bacteria; Pseudomonadati; Pseudomonadota; Gammaproteobacteria; Enterobacterales
Description: partial 16S ribosomal RNA
Rfam family: Bacterial small subunit ribosomal RNA
Source: RNAcentral
GGGAGUAAUGUCUGGGAAACUGCCUGAUGGAGGGGGAGUAACUACUGGAAACGGUAGCUAAUACCGCAUAACGUCGCAAGACCAAAGUGGGGGACCUUCGGGCCUCAUGCCAUCAGAUGUGCCCAGAUGGGAUUAGCUAGUAGGUGGGGUAAUGGCUCACCUAGGCGACGAUCCCUAGCUGGUCUGAGAGGAUGACCAGCCACACUGGAACUGAGACACGGUCCAG